Molecule: ribosomal RNA, 1410 nt
Filed under: Triticum aestivum (bread wheat)
Lineage: Eukaryota; Viridiplantae; Streptophyta; Magnoliopsida; Poales; Poaceae
Description: partial small subunit ribosomal RNA
Source: RNAcentral
AUGGCACCUCAGCGGCAGCAGCAGCAGCACAAGGCCGCCGUGGUCGCACUCUUCCUGCUGUCCGCCCUCGUGGCUGCGCCCGCCGUUGCUGCUUCCAGGCCCGAAUCCGGCGGCUACGCACCCGCCACGCCCUCCGAGGCCGCGACGCCGGCCGAGCCCGCCGCCAGCACGCCCUCCAAGAAGGCGGCAGGCUACACUGACUCUACGCCGGCCGACACACCCGCUGAGGGGGGAACGCCUGACAAGGCCGCGGCGGGCUACACUGACACUACGCCGGCCGAGCAGCCCGCCGCCGAUGGCACUAAGGUCAAGGUGCCGCCCGGGGAGGGGAAGGCGACUACGCCCGAGCAGAAGUUCAUCGAGAAGGUGAACCAAGCGUUCAAGAAGGCUCUAGACGCGGCCAACGCGGCGGCGCCCGACGACAAGUUUUCGGUGUUCGACGCCGCCUUCAACAGGGAGAUCAAGCAGUGCCUCGCCGGCAUGAGUGCCAAAUUCAUCUCCAUGAUCGACCGCGCCUUCAAGAUAGCGUACAACUCCGCCGUCGCCGCCACCAACGCGCAGGAAAAGUUCUCCUGCUUGGUGCUCACCCUCACAGAGGCCCUCCGCUUCAUUGCCGCCACCCUGGACGCCCACGCCAUCAAGCCAGCCAUCGAGGAGGUGGUUGCCGGAGGCAUGAAGGCCGCGGACGGCGCGACACGGGUCAUCAAGAAGCUCGACACGGUCAUCAAGGCAGCCUCCGCUGCUGCCAAAGAAGCUCCGAAAGCCGACAGGAUCCCCGUGUUCCAAGCCGCCCUCAACAAGGCCAUCAAGGAGCAGAUGGGCCCCGGCUACGACGGGAGCAAGACGACCUCCGAUCUCGACGCGGCGUUCAAAAAGGCCGUCGAAUCCGCCGCCACCUCCAAGCCGGAGGCUAAGGACACCGACGUGGCGGACGCCUUGGCGAAGUCCAUCACCACCAUUGCCAAUGCCACCAAGGAUGGCGCCGAAACUGCUGCCGCGCCCGCCACAGAAGCCGGUACCAAGACUGCAGCUGCCGACGCCGGCUACAAGGCCGCCGACAAAUCCGCUGCCGAGCCCGCUGCCGCGCCAGCUGCCGAAGCCGCCGACAAAUCCGCUGCCGAGCCCGCUGCCGCGCCAGCUGCCGAAGCCGCAACCGCGCCCGCUGCUGAAGCCGCUACCAAGCCCACGGCUGAUGAAUCCGGUUACAAGGCCAAGGCCAAGGCCAAGGCCGAAGCCGCUCCCAAGCCCGCAGCAGAAUCCGCUACCAAGUCCGCUGCCAAGCUCGCAGCCGAUGCCCCUGCCGAGCCCGCUGCGGAAGCGGCUACCAAGCCCGCAGAUGGCAAAUCCGGCUACAAGGCCGCCGCCGAUGCCGCGACCAAACCUGCUGCCGCAGGCGGCUACAAUCUGUGA